Molecule: long non-coding RNA, 935 nt
Organism: Vidua chalybeata
Lineage: Eukaryota; Metazoa; Chordata; Aves; Passeriformes; Viduidae
Exons: 6
Source: RefSeq, a predicted model, not a curated record
GCUGAGCCGGUGACGGGCUCGCAGCUGCGUGGGAGCGCUUCGAUCGCCCCUGGCCAAGGGGUGUUAUUGCCCCCCCAGCUAAGGGUCCCAGCUGUCUGAUGCCGCUUAUCGCAAAAUCACAGAACCAACUAGGCUGGAAAAGACCUUUGAGAUCAGCGAGUCCAAUUUAUGACCAACACGGUUAUGGCAGUGAGCGCCACAUCCAGUCUUUCCUUAAACACCUUCAGGGGCAGCAGGAGUCCGGGAUUUAAACUGACCUCGUCUCGACUGGUUUUUAUACUAGAGCUCGGAUUUCCAAACCUUUUAAGGGCUGGAAUUGUGAAUUUGAACAUCGUAGCUGCCAGCAGGAGAUUUGCAGGGAAGUGCCUCGAGUUCAGCAUUCAGUUCCACUGUUGAAACACUGCUUGUGGGAACCCUGGCAAGUGAUGCUGUUCAUUGCAUAUGUCUCUUUCAAGUGUCAUGUUUUCUGAUCCAACAAAUCUAUGAAAGUCAGCACCACUGCUGGUUUUUAGUUCACAACUCAACAGCUGGAUUUCAUCUGAACAUAUGAUCAAAGAGAGACACUAUCAGGAUGCAGAAAGCUGUGUUCAAAAUAAGGAUAACCAGACAGCAUUAGAACAUUCAAAAGGAUACUGUCUCCAUAUCAGAAGUGCAAAUCCAAAUGCUGCAGUUCAAGCUCAUCAAUAUUGAUUCAGAUGACCAACUUUGCUGUAGUGCUUGACCCAGCUGGGACUGGCAGUAGCAUCUUGAAGUAACAAAACAUAUCUGAGCACGGUCCUGCUCACCCUCAGGGCCUCUCCAAGGCCACAAUUUCACAGGGAACAUGGUCCUGGCAAAUGCUGCUGAUCUCAUGAGGACUGGGAAUAUGGUUUGUUUGUUUGCUUGCUGGUUUGUUCCUAUUAGCUAUGCCCAAUUAAAAUGCAGUUAAAUAAACA